Molecule: long non-coding RNA, 1153 nt
Organism: Herpailurus yagouaroundi (jaguarundi)
Lineage: Eukaryota; Metazoa; Chordata; Mammalia; Carnivora; Felidae
Exons: 3
Source: RefSeq, a predicted model, not a curated record
UUAAAUCACCCAGGCAGAAUGGCUUACUUAAUUACCUAAUCCUCCAGUGUUUUUUGCAGAGACAGUAACCUGCUGUGCCGUGCUCUUCUUGAGCUUUAAUAAGAUCCUUAUGGAAAGGGCCUGACCCAAAGGCGGCCUGGGGGAUUGAAAAGGAGCACUUGAAGAUACUGACUGACAUUGCAUCCUUGCCUUGUUGCCUGCUUGCCGUGAGCUCUUCGGCAAGUCACUUAACCUCUCCAGGCCACAGUUUUCUCAUCUGUAUAAUGAGGAGAUCCGGGCCAGAUGAUCUCUCGAGCACCCACCAGUCCAAGUUUUCUCUGCAACCAGGAGACCUAGGAGACCCUUUAGCCCAGUCCUCUAACACUUAGAGGCUGGGAGCCUCCAAGAAGCGGAAGGACAGUACAAGGUUACAGGAAUCAGACAGGAGACCACAAGGAGAUGUAAUUAACCGUGUUCAGCCUUUGCUGGGCGGCAGCCGAGAGGAAAAACCCUAACAGGUAACUAAAGAAUAUGUAUACAGGGAUUCUGGCUAAACUCAAAAGGGUUACCCAUCUUCUGUGGGAUCUCAACAGCUCCAUUUAUGUGCGAUGGAAAUAAUGUAGUUGCUUACUCUUCCGUGAUCCAAAGGAGGAAAUAAGAAUUCAUUCAUGAAAUUAAAGGUAGAAUAAUCAUUCACAUAGGGACCCUGUUUUAAAGCUGCUUAGUAAUUAAGACUGAUACCUUCCUUAAUGACAGAUAUGGGAGAGCAGAUUUUUCCUGUAUCUAGUUGGUAUGUUUAAGGUACUUAAAUUGAUGUCCCUAGUAAUAGCCGUCUUCAUCAAAAGGUUAGUAAAAACCCAUGACCUUCCAAGCACUGGAGGCUUGUCCCCAGGGAUUCUCCAUCUUUCCUUUAAUAUACUUACUUCAGUUUUUCCCAGGUCUCUUCACCAAAUUUCUCUAUCACAAGAGACUGAAGACAGGUGUUGAUAAAUCCAUACUAGAACACAAAACGAGAGGGAAAAUAGGGAUAAUGAAGCAUGAAAUCCCCAGUCGUCGACAUCUGAAUGGUGUCUUUUAGGAGAACUGCAAAGUCAUCUUCUGGAAGAAAUGAAUUACACCUUUUCCCUGUUUCUCCUGAGUUUACUUCUUUGAUAGUUAUGCUUUUUCUCCCAAC